UGCAGGUGUCUCUGGUGUAGCGGCUGUCUCUGUGUCCAGCUGUCUCUGUGGUGUAGAGGCUGUCUCUGGGUCCACGUGUCUCUGUGGUGUAGAGGCUGUCUCUGUGCAGGUGUCUCUGGUGUAGCGGCUGUCUCUGUGUCCAGCUGUCUCUGUGUCCAGCUGUCUCUGUGGUGUAGCGGCUGUCUCUGUGUCCAGCUGUCUCUGUGUCCAGCUGUCUCUGUCCAGCUGUCUCUGUGGUGUAGAGGCUGUCUCUGGGUCCAGCUGUCUCUGUGGUGGCAAAGCUGUCUCUGGGUCCACGUGUCUCUGUGGUGUAGAGGCUGUUUCUGUGUCCAGGUGUCUCUGUGGUGUAGCGGCUGUCUCUGGGUCCAGGUGUCUCUGUGGUGUAGAGGCUGUCUCUGUGUCCAAGUGUCUGUGGUGUAGAGGCUGUCUCUGUGUCCAGGCGUCUCUGUGGUGUACAGGCUGUCUCUGGGUCCAGGUGUCUCUGUGGUCUAGAAGCUGUCUCUGGGUCCAGGUGUCUCUGGUGUAGAGGCUGUCUCUGUGUCCAGGUCUCCAUGGAGAUGGACCCAAUGUGCGCCUGGGUGCCGCCAGCUGCUGCUUCUGCACUUGAUGCGGCACUCAUGAAGCAGGAGGAGUCAUGGACGCAUGCGGCGUUGAAGCUGGAGGCUGCAGACAGCUGUACAGAGAGCCCGGGAGAGGCAGCGUCAUGGCUCACGGUGAAGAGCGAAGCCUCAGAGGACGGAGUGGACGGUGCCAGCUUCCCCUGCCAGGU
This is a long non-coding RNA of Lethenteron reissneri (Far Eastern brook lamprey), 769 nucleotides long. RefSeq lists it as uncharacterized. The record is from RefSeq and is a predicted model, not a curated record. NCBI's taxonomy places the organism in Eukaryota, Metazoa, Chordata, Hyperoartia, Petromyzontiformes, Petromyzontidae.